This 468-nucleotide ribosomal RNA is filed under the name uncultured bacterium. RNAcentral's name for it is "partial 16S ribosomal RNA". It matches the Rfam family "Bacterial small subunit ribosomal RNA", at positions 28 to 507 of the family's 1533-position model. The record is from RNAcentral.
GACGAACGCUGGCGGCGUGCUUAACACAUGCAAGUCGAACGGAAAGGCCCUGCUUUUGUGGGGUGCUCGGGUGGCGAACGGGUGAGUAACACGUGAGUAACCUGCCCUUGACUUUGGGAUAACUUCAGGAAACUGGGGCUAAUACCGGAUAGGAGCUCCUGCUGCAUGGUGGGGGUUGGAAAGUUUCGGCGGUUGGGGAUGGACUCGCGGCUUAUCAGCUUGUUGGUGGGGUAGUGGCUUACCAAGGCUUUGACGGGUAGCCGGCCUGAGAGGGUGACCGGCCACAUUGGGACUGAGGUACGGCCCAGACUCCUACGGGAGGCAGCAGUGGGGAAUAUUGCACAAUGGGCGGAAGCCUGAUGCAGCAACGCCGCGUGCGGGAUGACGGCCUUCGGGUUGUAAACCGCUUUCGCCUGUGACGAAGCGUGAGUGACGGUAAUGGGUAAAGAAGCACCGGCUAACUACGUG